This 253-nucleotide ribosomal RNA is filed under the name uncultured bacterium. Its description in RNAcentral is "partial 16S ribosomal RNA". It matches the Rfam family "Bacterial small subunit ribosomal RNA", at positions 524 to 776 of the family's 1533-position model. The record is from RNAcentral.
UACGUAGGGGGCGAGCGUUGUCCGGAUUUAUUGGGCGUAAAGAGCGUGUAGGCGGCUUUACAGGUCCGUUGUGAAAACUCGAGGCUCAACCUCGAGACGCCGGUGGAAACCGUAAAGCUAGAGUCCGGAAGAGGAGAGUGGAAUUCCUGGUGUAGCGGUGAAAUGCGCAGAUAUCAGGAGGAACACCCGUGGCGAAGGCGGGUUGCUGGGCUGACACUGACGCUGAUGCGCGAAAGCUAGGGGAGCGAACGGG